GAUGAAGAACGUAGCAAAAUGCGAUAAGUAAUGUGAAUUGCAGAAUUCAGUGAAUCAUCGAAUCUUUGAACGCACAUUGCGCCCGCUGGUGUUCCGGCGGGCAUGCCUGUUCGAGCGUCAUUUCAACCCUCAAGCCCCCGGGUUUGGUGUUGGGGAUCGGCUCUGCCCUUCUGGGCGGUGCCGCCCCCGAAAUACAUUGGCGGUCUCGCUGCAGCCUCCAUUGCGUAGUAGCUAACACCUCGCAACUGGAACGCGGCGCGGCCAUGCCGUAAAACCCCAACUUCUGAAUGUUGACCUCGGAUCAGGUAGGAAUACCCGCUGAACUUAAGCAUAUCAAUAAGCGGAGGA
This 348-nucleotide unclassified non-coding RNA is filed under the name soil metagenome. RNAcentral's name for it is "partial contains 5.8S ribosomal RNA, internal transcribed spacer 2, and large subunit ribosomal RNA". The stretch from base 1 to 120 matches the Rfam family "5.8S ribosomal RNA", at positions 35 to 154 of the family's 154-position model. The record is from RNAcentral.